Molecule: ribosomal RNA, 364 nt
Filed under: uncultured bacterium
Lineage: Bacteria
Description: partial 16S ribosomal RNA
Rfam family: Bacterial small subunit ribosomal RNA
Source: RNAcentral
UGGGGAAUUUUGGACAAUGGGCGCAAGCCUGAUCCAGCCAUGCCGCGUGCGGGAAGAAGGCCUUCGGGUUGUAAACCGCUUUUGUCAGGGAAGAAAUCUUCUGAGUUAAUACCUCGGGAGGAUGACGGUACCUGAAGAAUAAGCACCGGCUAACUACGUGCCAGCAGCCGCGGUAAUACGUAGGGUGCAAGCGUUAAUCGGAAUUACUGGGCGUAAAGCGUGCGCAGGCGGUUUUGUAAGACAGAGGUGAAAUCCCCGGCUCAACCUGGGAACUGCCUUUGUGACUGCAAGGGCUUGAGUGCGGCAGAGGGGGAUGGAAUUCCGCGUGUAGCAGUGAAAUGCGUAGAUAUGCGGAGGAACACCG